Molecule: ribosomal RNA, 492 nt
Filed under: uncultured bacterium
Lineage: Bacteria
Description: partial 16S ribosomal RNA
Rfam family: Bacterial small subunit ribosomal RNA
Source: RNAcentral
AGUGAACGCUGGCGGUAGGCCUAACACAUGCAAGUCGAACGGCAGCACAGUAAGAGCUUGCUCUUACGGGUGGCGAGUGGCGGACGGGUGAGGAAUACAUCGGAAUCUACUUUUUCGUGGGGGAUAACGUAGGGAAACUUACGCUAAUACAGCAUACGACCUACGGGUGAAAGCAGGGGAUCUUCGGACCUUGCGCGAUUGAAUGAGCCGAUGUCGGAUUAGCUAGUUGGCGGGGUAAAGGCCCACCAAGGCGACGAUCCGUAGCUGGUCUGAGAGGAUGAUCGGCCACACUGGAACUGGGACACGGUCCAGACUCCUACGGGAGGCAGCAGUGGGGAAUAUUGGACAAUGGGCGCAAGCCUGAUCCAGCCAUACCGCGUGGGUGAAGAAGGCCUUCGGGUUGUAAAGCCCUUUUGUUGGGAAAGAAAAGCAGCAGGUUAAUACCCCGCUGUUCUGACGGUACCCAAAGAAUAAGCACCGGCUAACUUCGUG